UUUAUGGAGAGUUUGAUCCUGGCUCAGGAUGAACGCUGGCGGCGUGCCUAAUACAUGCAAGUCGAGCGAACGGACGAGAAGCUUGCUUCUCUGAUGUUAGCGGCGGACGGGUGAGUAACACGUGGAUAACCUACCUAUAAGACUGGGAUAACUUCGGGAAACCGGAGCUAAUACCGGAUAAUAUUAUGAACCGCAUGGUUCAAAAGUGAAAGACGGUCUUGCUGUCACUUAUAGAUGGAUCCGCGCUGCAUUAGCU
This 256-nucleotide ribosomal RNA is filed under the name Staphylococcus aureus. RNAcentral describes it as "partial 16S ribosomal RNA". It matches the Rfam family "Bacterial small subunit ribosomal RNA", at positions 1 to 246 of the family's 1533-position model. The record is from RNAcentral. Lineage: Bacteria; Bacillati; Bacillota; Bacilli; Caryophanales; Staphylococcaceae.